ACGGAGAGUUUGAUCCUGGCUCAGGAUGAACGCUGGCGGCGUGCUUAACACAUGCAAGUCGAACGAACCUUCGGGUUAGUGGCGGACGGGUGAGUAACGCGUGGGAAUCUGCCCUCAGGAGGGGGAUAACGGUUGGAAACGACCGCUAAUACCCCAUAUGCCGAGAGGUGAAAUGAAUUUCGCCUGAGGAUGAGCCCGCGUCUGAUUAGCUAGUUGGUGAGGUAAUGGCUCACCAAGGCAUCGAUCAGUAGCUGGUCUGAGAGGAUGAUCAGCCACACUGGGACUGAGACACGGCCCAGACUCCUACGGGAGGCAGCAGUGGGGAAUUUUCCGCAAUGGGCGCAAGCCUGACGGAGCAACGCCGCGUGAGGGAUGAAGGCCUCUGGGCUGUAAACCUCUUUUCUCAAGGAAGAAGAUCUGACGGUACUUGAGGAAUAAGCCACGGCUAAUUCCGUGCCAGCAGCCGCGGUAAUACGGGAGUGGCAAGCGUUAUCCGGAAUUAUUGGGCGUAAAGCGUCCGCAGGCGGCUUUUCAAGUCUGCUGUUAAAACGUGGAGCUUAACUCCAUCAAGGCAGUGGAAACUGAUUGGCUUGAGUGUGGUAGGGGCAGAGGGAAUUCCCGGUGUAGCGGUGAAAUGCGUAGAUAUCGGGAAGAACACCAGUGGCGAAGGCGCUCUGCUGGGCCAUAACUGACGCUCAUGGACGAAAGCCAGGGGAGCGAAAGGGAUUAGAUACCCCUGUAGUCCUGGCCGUAAACGAUGAACACUAGGUGUCGGGGGAAUCGACCCCCUCGGUGUCGUAGCCAACGCGUUAAGUGUUCCGCCUGGGGAGUACGCACGCAAGUGUGAAACUCAAAGGAAUUGACGGGGGCCCGCACAAGCGGUGGAGUAUGUGGUUUAAUUCGAUGCAACGCGAAGAACCUUACCAGGGUUUGACAUCCUGCGAAUCUCUUGGAAACGAGAGAGUGCCUUUGGGAACGCAGUGACAGGUGGUGCAUGGCUGUCGUCAGCUCGUGUCGUGAGAUGUUGGGUUAAGUCCCGCAACGAGCGCAACCCACGUUUUUAGUUGCCAGCAUUCAGUUGGGCACUCUAGAGAGACCGCCGGUGAUAAACCGGAGGAAGGUGUGGAUGACGUCAAGUCAUCAUGCCCCUUACAUCCUGGGCUACACACGUACUACAAUGCUACGGACAAAGGGCAGCAAGUUCGCGAGGACAAGCAAAUCCCAUAAACCGUGGCUCAGUUCAGAUCGUAGGCUGCAACUCGCCUACGUGAAGAAGGAAUCGCUAGUAAUCGCAGGUCAGCAUACUGCGGUGAAUACGUUCCCGGGCCUUGUACACACCGCCCGUCACACCAUGGAAGUUGGCCACGCCCGAAGUCGUUACUCCAACCCUUGUGGAGGAGGACGCCGAAGGUGGGGCUGAUGACUGGGGUGAAGUCGUAACAAGGUAUCCGUACCGGAAGGUGCGGAUGGAUCACCUCCU
Molecule: ribosomal RNA, 1480 nt
Filed under: Prochlorococcus marinus str. MIT 1323
Lineage: Bacteria; Bacillati; Cyanobacteriota; Cyanophyceae; Synechococcales; Prochlorococcaceae
Description: bacterial SSU rRNA
Rfam family: Bacterial small subunit ribosomal RNA
Source: RNAcentral